AUUGAACGCUGGCGGCAUGCCUUACACAUGCAAGUCGAACGGCAGCACGGGUGCUUGCCCCUGGUGGCGAGUGGCGAACGGGUGAGUAAUACAUCGGAACAUGUCCUGUAGUGGGGGAUAGCCCGGCGAAAGCCGGAUUAAUACCGCAUACGAUCUACGGAUGAAAGCGGGGGACCUUCGGGCCUCGCGCUAUAGGGUUGGCCGAUGGCUGAUUAGCUAGUUGGUGGGGUAAAGGCCUACCAAGGCGACGAUCAGUAGCUGGUCUGAGAGGACGACCAGCCACACUGGGACUGAGACACGGCCCAGACUCCUACGGGAGGCAGCAGUGGGGAAUUUUGGACAAUGGGCGAAAGCCUGAUCCAGCAAUGCCGCGUGUGUGAAGAAGGCCUUCGGGUUGUAAAGCACUUUUGUCCGGAAAGAAAUCCUUGGCCCUAAUACGGUCGGGGGAUGACGGUACCGGAAGAAUAGGCACCGGCUAACUACGUG
This 486-nucleotide ribosomal RNA is filed under the name uncultured bacterium. RNAcentral's name for it is "partial 16S ribosomal RNA". It matches the Rfam family "Bacterial small subunit ribosomal RNA", at positions 30 to 507 of the family's 1533-position model. The record is from RNAcentral.